This 144-nucleotide small RNA is filed under the name Flavobacterium sp. 123. Its description in RNAcentral is "Flavo-1 RNA". It matches the Rfam family "Flavo-1 RNA". Lineage: Bacteria; Pseudomonadati; Bacteroidota; Flavobacteriia; Flavobacteriales; Flavobacteriaceae. The record is from Rfam by way of RNAcentral.
CUCUAGCCCUGAUAGAAAUGGAAAUCCUUUUUUUGAGAAAAGCUAUUUUUUCCUGAUUUUGCAGAACGACCAAAGGAAGUUCCUGCAAAGUUUUGGAAAAAAAGAUUUUAGAAAAAAAGAUUGUAAUGAAUAGCAGGAAAUUGC